Long non-coding RNA from Lathyrus oleraceus (garden pea), 1809 nucleotides. RefSeq lists it as uncharacterized. The record is from RefSeq and is a predicted model, not a curated record. The transcript has 2 exons. NCBI's taxonomy places the organism in Eukaryota, Viridiplantae, Streptophyta, Magnoliopsida, Fabales, Fabaceae.
GAAAAGAGGUUGCUUUGCUGAAUUUUUCAAGUUGAAAAGUCAGCACCAACCGCAAAAUGAGUUUAAGGAAUAAGAGUAAAGCUUAUGACAGUAUGCAUGAAAAAGCUCCAAACCGUAAAACGCAAGUGGGAAGCAAAGGCGGAAUCGCGCAACAUGACAAAAAAAGUUCAGAAUCGCGUUUCACACAAGCACUUAUUUGAAACGCAAUUUUUGAACGCCAAACCAGAACUAACUUGCUCGGAACUCUCACGGUUUUGGCUCAACAUUACGGUUAAAGCUUGGUUCGAAUUCGAGUCACGAUUCAGCAUUGGAUUGGUUCUGAUUCAGAGUUUUGUUUCAAUUCGAAGUUUGGCUUUGGGUUGCAAUUAUGUUUUCGCAAUUUGGUUCGAAUUUGUUCAACUCAGUUUGUGUUUCGGUUCCGGUUUGUAUUCUCGCGGUAAUCAUCCACACAAGAUGAAAAGAAAGGCAAAUACAUAAACAAGCAUGCAAAGAUAACUCAAACAAGCAAGCAAUCAUGGAAGACACAAGCAAGCAAAGAAUUCAUAGAAUGAUAAAUAAAGUUUGAGGCUUACUGAUCGGAGACCCUCCGAUGGUUCUUCAAUGGCGACCCAAAUUCAAUACGGUAAACGGUUCUUCAAUUCCUCUUCAUCCCUUUUUCAUCCUUUUUAUUUUCUUCCAUUUGUUUUCUUGUGGUUGUUGAUUUUUUUGCCACUUUCCGAUGCCUGAGACAUGAAAAAUUAUGGUGUCAAGUGUAGUGAAGGUUUAUGCUCAAGUUUAUUGAAGCUUCAAUGUGAAGCUUCAACAACCAUGGAUUUGAGCUCUAGUGAGGAAAGGUUGAAAAAUGGAGAAUGGAGAGUGAAAAUUUGAGAGAAAGUGAAGAAUGAGUGGAAUCAAAAAGUGGAGAAGAAUCUCUUUAAUUGGUGAAUGAUGACUGCUUAUAUAAAACUAAGUGAGGGAUGAUUAGAGGUCGAAAAUUAGUUAGAAAUUAGUUGGGGCUGUUUUGGGCACUUUGGGCAAUUGCCCGAAGUAGUUAGAAGUUAGUUUAUGGAAGUUUAAGGUAGUUAGGGUGGUUAAGGCAUGGAUGUAUGUGAAUUUACAUGUAUGUGUAUAUGCUGAAUUUUUAGUGAAUAUGAAGAAAAUUGGAUGAAUUUACAUGACACUACUUGAAUACAUGUUUGGGUAUUUACACGGUAUGAAUGAAUGACUCAUAGAUACAUUUGGAUUGGUGUUCAUGAAUGAAAUAAUGUGUUACAUGCAUGCUGAAUUUUUCUUUUAAUGCACAUGAUUUAAUGGUUUUGACUUAUUGUAUAGAAGUGGAAUAAUAAUCAUACAUAGCAUGGACUUUAUUCAUGGUACAUGCAUAACAUGCAGAAUUUUUAUUGACUUUGUCUUGUUUUUAAUGACUUUGUAUAUGAUGUGAAGGUAUGUGCAUAUGUUGCAUUUUAGAGAUUAAUGACAUGAACUUAAAAUGACUUUGGAAAUGCUAAUGAUGUUGAAUUUUUGUUAUGUAAGUGCUGAAUUUUUUAAAAUGAAUGUAAUAUCUAACUUACUUUUAUUAUUUUCUUUGGAACAUGGUACAUGGUAAUGGAGCAUGAACACACAUGGUCAAAGAUGGAGUAUGAAUGAAGACUAUUGAAGAGUUUGGAAUUAAUUUUAUUCUUUUGUGUAUGAAAUCUUUGUAAUAUAUUUGUAAUGACACAAAGUGAUGUAAAGUGAAGCCAUGUAAUUGUAAAAAUAAUGUUUAGUGACCUUUGAACCUUAUGUACAUGAAUUGGAAGACCAUGAAUAAAAAAGGAAUUAUAGCUCAAA